Molecule: long non-coding RNA, 1606 nt
Organism: Bos grunniens (domestic yak)
Lineage: Eukaryota; Metazoa; Chordata; Mammalia; Artiodactyla; Bovidae
Source: Ensembl
AUGGAUCCACUUCUCUUGGCAAAUAUCUGUCGACGACAACCCACAACAUAUCUCGGUCCAUUUGUAGCUUUAACAAUGAAUUUUUCUUCAGUUAACUGCUUAAGUACUUCACCCACAAUCUGCCCAACACUUUGUAGAGCCUUCAGAUCAUUUUCAGACUUUUCAUACUGCUUGGUAAGUUCUUUUAAUUGUUCCCUUAACUCCUUGAGACGGCCGUCAAUCUCUUUGUUCUCCAGCAGUUUCUUGCGGUAGUCCUGAAGCGCCUUAUCUCUAGGGUCCGCCAUGAUGAGAAGCCGUUGCUCAUAGGGGAUGCCGGGAAUGGCCAUGGCCGCCCGGGCGGGGGAAGGGGCGGGGCCUCCCUUUGACCUUUUUACUCUUCUCCGCCCUGCUCACUCUCCUCAGACCACACUGGUCUCCUUCCAGUUCCCAUUUUCGAGGGCUGCCUUGACCUCAGGAUCUUUGCUCUUCCUCCUCACUUUUCCCUUAAUACUUUUCCCCCAAAUACUCACAUGGCUUGCUCCUUCAUUUCUUUAAGUCUCUGCUCAAAUGUCCCUUCUCAGUGAGGCCUUCCCUGACCACUCCAUUUAAAAUUGCAGUGACCUGACCUCCACACCUGCUCUGGCAUCCCCACCACAUCCUUCUUCCCUGCUUAAUAUUUUUCAUAGCACUUACCCCUCCUAGUCUGUGAUAUAAUUUAUUUAUUUAUUUUGUUCAUUGUUUGUCCUCUCCCACUACCACCAUCACCACCACUAUAACGGUAAAUUCUGUAAGUCAGGAAGUUUUGUCUGUAUUAGUCAUUGAUGCUCAGCACCUAAAAGAGUAUCAGGCACAGUCAGCCUCGGUAAGCAUUUCGUGAAUAGAUGAACGCCAAGGUAAUGGUAGGGGAGGUAAAUCAGUGAAGGAUCAUUUCAGGAUGCGGGGAUGGCACAAAACAGCAAUGAAAGGUUAAAGAGUGAGACGAUCAGGCAACUGAAAUGAGAUGUAUAUAGCUGGAAUGAAGGGCCUGUGGAAAUAUAGCCAAGAGGCAGGGGAUGGUUUGCCACGCUAAGAUCUUUGAACUGCAGCCUAAAGCAACAAGGUGUCUAGUUGAAAGAUUUUUAAGCUCAGUGGAGAGAGCUGUGAAACCUGAUCAUGUCAGUAGUUUAGAAAGAUCGCUCUGCCAGAGAUAUCAGUUUAGAAGUGGUGAGGCCAGACUCAAGGAGACCAGUUGUUUCCAAUUGCAGCAGAUCUGAUGACAAAUGAUGAGGACUCUAAAUCAAUGGCCAGAGGUAUUAACACAGAAAGAGAGUGAAUUCGAAGGAUAAUUAGGAAGUUGAAUCUUCAGGACUCUGUAAACAAAUCAGUUGUGAGUUGUGAGACAGAGCAAGAAUUCAGGAUGACAACCAGAUUUCUAGCUUGGGUAAUUUGAGAGGUGAUGGUGCCAUUCACUGAACACAGAUGAAAAGCAAUUAUACAGCCUCACCAGUCAUCUUCCUGUUAUUGGGUCACCAGGGCCCAGUGAUGAUGGGCGCAAAGCCCAAGCCAUUCAUCUGUAUUCACCGUAUGUGAACACCCUGCUGGUGGCAGGAAGUCUGAUCUGAGCACCAUGAGUCAGCAGCCUCCCUUC